UGGGUUGUGGCUCAGUGGUAGAACACUUGUCUAGUAAAUAUGAGGCACUGGGUUUGAUCCCCAGCACCACAU
This 72-nucleotide transfer RNA is filed under the name Marmota marmota marmota (Alpine marmot). It matches the Rfam family "tRNA". From Rfam's summary of the family: Transfer RNA (tRNA) molecules are approximately 80 nucleotides in length. RNAcentral also lists the same sequence under 1 other name. Lineage: Eukaryota; Metazoa; Chordata; Mammalia; Rodentia; Sciuridae. The record is from Rfam by way of RNAcentral.